RNAcentral lists this ribosomal RNA (253 nucleotides) under uncultured bacterium. RNAcentral's name for it is "partial 16S ribosomal RNA". It matches the Rfam family "Bacterial small subunit ribosomal RNA", at positions 524 to 776 of the family's 1533-position model. The record is from RNAcentral.
UACAGAGGGGGUAAGCGUUGUUCGGAAUUACUGGGCGUAAAGGGCGCGUAGGCGGCCUUCUAAGUCGAACGUGAAAUCCCCGGGCUCAACCCGGGAACUGCGUCCGAUACUGGAAGGCUUGAAUCCGGGAGAGGGAUGCGGAAUUCCAGGUGUAGCGGUGAAAUGCGUAGAUAUCUGGAGGAACACCGGUGGCGAAGGCGGCAUCCUGGACCGGUAUUGACGCUGAGGCGCGAAAGCCAGGGGAGCAAACGGG